GGCGGUUUUCUGCGGCCUACGCCUAAGACUGCAAAUCCUUGCACGCCGGUUCGAUUCCGGCUCGGGCCUCCA
This 72-nucleotide transfer RNA is filed under the name Novosphingobium chloroacetimidivorans. RNAcentral describes it as "tRNA-Cys". The record is from RNAcentral. Lineage: Bacteria; Pseudomonadati; Pseudomonadota; Alphaproteobacteria; Sphingomonadales; Sphingomonadaceae.